UGCCAGCAGCCGCGGUAAUACGGAGGGGGCUAGCGUUGUUCGGAAUUACUGGGCGUAAAGCGCGCGUAGGCGGGCAUUUAAGUCGGGGGUGAAAUCCCAGGGCUCAACCCUGGAACUGCCCUCGAUACUGGGUGCCUAGAGAUUGGGAGAGGUGAGUGGAAUGACGAGUGUAGAGGUGAAAUUCGUAGAUAUCGGAAGGAACACCAGUGGCGAAGGCGACUUUCUGGCCUAUUCUUGACGCUGAGGCGCGAAAGCUAGGGGAGCGAACGGGAUUAGAUA
This 279-nucleotide ribosomal RNA is filed under the name uncultured bacterium. RNAcentral describes it as "partial 16S ribosomal RNA". It matches the Rfam family "Bacterial small subunit ribosomal RNA", at positions 506 to 784 of the family's 1533-position model. The record is from RNAcentral.